GACGAACCGUCCAAACGUUAUUCGGAAUCACUGGGCUUGCAGAGUUCGUAGGCGGUUCUAAAAGUUAGGUGUGAAAUCCCUCGGCUCAACCGAGGAACUGCGCUUAAAACUGUGGGACUCGAGGGAGAUAGAGGAAAGCGGAACUGAUGGUGGAGCGGUGAAAUGCGUUGAUAUCAUCAGGAACACCGGUGGCGAAGGCGGCUUUCUGGGUCUUACCUGACGCUGAGGAACGAAAGCCAGGGGAGCGAACGGG
Molecule: ribosomal RNA, 253 nt
Filed under: uncultured bacterium
Lineage: Bacteria
Description: partial 16S ribosomal RNA
Rfam family: Bacterial small subunit ribosomal RNA
Source: RNAcentral